RNAcentral lists this ribosomal RNA (253 nucleotides) under uncultured bacterium. RNAcentral's name for it is "partial 16S ribosomal RNA". It matches the Rfam family "Bacterial small subunit ribosomal RNA", at positions 524 to 776 of the family's 1533-position model. The record is from RNAcentral.
AACGUAGGACGCAAGCGUUAUCCGGAAUUACUGGGCGUAAAGCGUGCGCAGGCGGUUUUGUAAGCCAGGUGUGAAAUCCCCGGGCUCAACCUGGGAAUGGCAUUUGGGACUGCAAGGCUGGAGUGUGGCAGAGGAGACUGGAAUUCCUGGUGUAGCAGUGAAAUGCGUAGAUAUCAGGAGGAAUACCGAUGGCGAAGGCAGGUCUCUGGGCUGACACUGACGCUCAUGCACGAAAGCGUGGGGAGCAAACAGG